UUCAAGAUGGCAGGAGCAUUCGUGAAUCGUGGUAGUGUAAAUAUUAAAUAGGGACCCUGUACCUACUGAAUAACAAUAUAGUCAUUAUAUUUAUAUUUUAUUAGUUUCAUUAUAGUAAUUAUUUGUUUAGAGUUUAUUUAAUUUCUUUACAAUAACCAUUAACACGUUCACAAUACAAUAAGUCACUAGUUAUUCUAAUCAAUGGAUUUUAAAGCCACUCGUUUAAUCGGCAUUACCGACGAAUUUGGUCAUGACUGAAGAACAGGUUGGCUUUAAUUUGGGCGAACUCAGAAAGCUUUGCAAACCUUACAUAGACUAUACUCGCUCAUAUAUGGACCAAAUGCCAAACAACUUAUGCAAUAAGCAUCAUGUCACUGUUGACAAUUUCAUCUUUCAGUUUUCAUCUGAAGUGGUGGAUUUUAGUUCACAGUAUGGCAGCGACAUUAGCAUAUCUUACACGGCUAGUAAUCUUACGGGGAAACCAAGCAAAUUUCCAAAUUAUGGAGACUUUCCUCAGUCAUAUGUCAUGGUGAGUUUUGUAAUAAACUUUUUACAAGUGUAUAGGUACUUGGCACACAUAUUGGUCUAGUAGGCAUUGAAGCCAAUCAGCCUGUCAUCAAUUUAUUGAUAUAUUUUUUCUAUUUAUUACUAAAUUAAAUAAAACAUUUUUUAAUUAAAAACUACUUGAAUUCAAGUUUUUUUUUUCAUUUUUUCUAAGACUAAGUGUAGGUGUGCAUCAAAGAUUGGUAUUGAAGCCUUACCAAAUUUCUGUUGUAAUAGAUGAAGUUACCAAUGAAAUACAAGGUGAGGUACCGAGGAAAGUGGCACUUGAAGGAUAAGUAGAAAUAAAACAGUACAUAUAGUAUGAGUUUAAAGGAACGGGAUAAGAUAACUAAUGACAAUAAGCAGUGACAUUAAAGGUGAGCUUGAGGUUUUUAAGUUCCUAGGAUCUUUUGUAUAGAAGAAUAACAAUUUCUAUGAGGAUAUUAAAUAAUGGUGGUUGAAUAAAAUGGAGAGAAGCGUUAGGUGUUUUAUGUGACAACAAGAUAAAUAUAAGAUUUAAAGGUAAGUUCUACAAUAGUAUGGUGAGACUGGCUGUUUUAUGAUUCAAAGAAAAAUAGAAAAUAAGUGUAACAGAGAUGUGAAUGCUUAGGUGGAUGACUGGAGUGAUGAGAGAAGAUAGUAUAAGGAAUGAGUAGCUUAGGUGUGGCUUCGAUAGUAAUCAAAAUGAAAGAAAAAUAGACAGAUGGUUUGGACAUGUCAUUAGGAGAGAGGAAUCAGAAGCGGUAAGAAUUGUAAUGAAAAUAGACACAGGAGGAAUAAGGGGAGAGGAAGACUAAAAUAUGGUAGCUGGAUGUGAUUGAGAAUGAUGCGAGGACAGUCAGUGUAUGAGAGGCGGGAGAUCAGCUCAAGUAGAAGUUUAAGAUGAAAGUGGCUGACCCAAAAUAGUUGGGAUAAAGGAGAAGGAGAAGAAGACAUUUUUUUCUAUGACUAGAAGUGGUUAUUCAUUUUACAUUUUACAAGUUGAAUAUUAUUGCAUGUAACAUGUUUAACAUUACUCACUAGUUUAGUUUUUUAUUUUUAAUUAUUUAUAAAUAUGUAAUAUUUGUUAAUUACAUCAUUUUUGUUUUUACAGAGAACUUAUGGACCAUGGAAAGAUGUUGCACCAUCUAGAAAAUGUCCAAUAAUGCCACAAAAUGCAGAGAGAAUAAAAAGUGAAGAUUAUAUAAGUAUGAUGAUAGAAAAAAAAAUUAUUGAAUUAUCAACUUAUGAUUAUCUUAUAUUUUAGUAUUAGGAUUUGAUGUACCAGUUGUGCCCUUGGUUGUAUCCAUAUUCGAAACGUUCACACCUGGAUCUGUUGUGCGUAUAUCAGGAAAAGUUAUUGACCUUCCUGAUUCGAUGGCGUGGCGACUACUGUGGGAAGGAUUGCCUCAAAAUUGUAAUGGUUUAAGAUACUCAAGAUUGUUUGCUCCUAAAUUAAAAGUCAUUAAAGAACGGGUCAAGUAAGAUAAACAUAUACUGCUGUAAGACAAUGAAAGUUGCGAAUAACAUUAAUAUUCAAAUAUUAUGCGUGUAGUCAGAUAUGUAUAGAGUUCAAUCAUUCUCAAUUGAACUACUAUACCGAGUUGGAUGCCGUAUCUCUGGGAGGCAUUUUGAAAUAUCCUGAAACUGGUGAACUUGAAAUCUUUUCAAUACCUUUGGUGACUCAUACAAGAUCAGGAUAUGUUUAUGAUAACAACGAAGAAGACAACCAAACACUAUUGACAGAAAUUAGAGUUCCUUCAGUGGCUUCAAAAGUGAUUUUCUCCAAUAGUUUCAUUUUUCUAGAUUAUUUAUGUAUAACAAUAUAUGUAUUGUUUGUAGUUACCAAUGUCGACAAGUUUGGAUCCGUUUAUAGACCUUAUUAAAAACAUAGAAGAACUUGAAAAUGAGUGGCGCAAAAGUGUACCUGACAUAGAUCAUACUUUAAAAUUACCUGUAUGUAUUUUUUUUUUAUUUUAGUCGUGUUAAUAAAUGAAUCUUAAAAUUUGUAUUACUCACAUCAAUAAUAUAGGAUGAAACAUUAAUGCAUAUAUUUUCAUAUUUGGAUUUAAAAUCAUUGCGUCGGUGUUUAAGUGUUAGCAAACGCUUCAAUGCCAUUUGCAAAGACGGAUCUUUUUAUAGAGAACUAAAUUUCAAAGUAAGUACAGCAAUAUUCAUAAUGUAUGUACUUAUAAUUUAUUUUUUCUCUUUUGUAGCCUUAUUGGUCUACAUUUUCCUAUGAAAUGCUUAUGUCAGUAGAGCCUCAAUGUUCCCGAUUAGCAAAGUUGGAUUUAUCCUGGUGUGGUAUAACAAGAGGAAUAUUAAGUACAACAUUCAAUGUGUAUGCUAUUUGUGUUAAACAUGUAAUACUCACAAUAGUUACUAUUUGUUUUUAAUUUUUGAUAAAACAUUUUUAGAUUUAUAAAUAAAUGCGGUACCCAUUUAACUCACUUACGACUGGACAAUUGUAAAUUUGUCAAUGAUAGUUCGUUAAUUGCAAUAAAUUUGUUUUGCAAAUAUCUCAAAGGUUAAAUUAUUUCACUUGUCAACAAUACAAUACCACAAUACAUAAUUAAUAGCUAUGGAAAUUUAAAUUUUCAGAGUUAAGUUUGAGAAGUUGCACUUCAAUUGAUUUCGGAUUGAUAAAAUCUCCGCAGAGUUUUUCCAAAAUGGAACGUAUAGAUUUCUAUAGAACAAAUAUUACUCAAGAGUGUUUAAAAUGUUAUCUGUGCAGUAUGCCCAAAUUGAAACAUAUUAAUUUGGGUAGUUAUUUUUGUUUGAUUAUGAAGUAAAUGAUGUUAAUAUAAUUGUUUAAUUAUUUGUUAAGGUUCGUGUAAAAGAAUUGAAUCCAUGGACAAUAUUGCUUUGGUGUUGUCAAUAUGGAACAAGGAGCUAGUGUCUGUAGAUUUUUGGAAAAGUUAUUCAUUGUCGCCUCUCGGACUACGGUAUUUAAUGGUUCAUAAGAAUCUCGAAGAAAUUGAUCUCGGAUGGUGGUUGGUAUAUUAUAUUGAUUGAUAUUAGGGAAAGGUUGACUCCAAUUUUAUUAUUCUAAGAUUGUUAGUUAAUUUGUUGUAUACUAUUUAUCUAUGUAUUCUUGUGUUAUGCAAAAAUUGACUAUCAUAGUAUAAUUAAGAUUCAAUGAAUCUAUAGUAAUAUAUAUUGAGUAAGAACACAUUAAUUAAUCAAAAAUGUAUUCAUGUUUUCAGUUUGGCUUUGAGUAUUCCUGGCACUAGUCUUAUAAAUUUGGUAAAAUCUUGUCCUAGAUUAAAAAAGAUUAUAAUUGUAUCAUUACGUGGUGUAAGCGAUCGUGAUCUACUUGCAUUUGCUGACUACUGUCCACUGUUGGAACAAAUUGAUUUGGUUGGCCUGAGAGCAAUUACAGUUGAAGCUUGUUCCAAAUUCCUACAGAAGUGCAAUAACCUAAAGCUAAUAGACGUCAACUUUUGUGAAAACAUCAAAGAAAUGACUGUACAAGAAUGGCGACUCAAAUAUCCUAAUGUUUGCAUUCAAUUUACUACUUCUGAAUAUUCAAAUGUAUAUCAUUACUAGGUAUAUUUUCAUUAUCGUAUGCGUUUUAUUUUCAAUUUUGCUUUAGCAUUUUAAUUCACGUAGCCAAAAAUAGAUUCUCGAAUAAAAUUAUUUAUAAAUUAGAAAAAAAAAAAAAUUAAUAUAUUAUAUUUAAGUAUAAGUUAUGAUCAAUUAAAAUUUAGUGUGUUUGUAAUUUGUAUCCAUUUAAUUAUUUUUAUCAUUGUGACAUUUUUUUAAUGAACAAUUAAUAAAUAUUAAUUAAUUUUAUAUUAAGGAUCUCGUAGUUUGUGUGACCAUUUUAAAUUUUUAAAAGCAAAAGAAUAAUAUAAUAAAAUUUAAU
RNAcentral lists this long non-coding RNA (4390 nucleotides) under Cinara cedri. Lineage: Eukaryota; Metazoa; Arthropoda; Insecta; Hemiptera; Aphididae. The record is from RNAcentral.